CAGUAGCCGCGGGAACACAGAGGGUGCAAGCGUUAAUCGGAUUUACUGGGCGUAAAGGGCGCGUAGGUGGUUAUUUAAGUGAGAUGUGAAAGCCCCGGGCUUAACCUGGGAACUGCAUCUUAUACUGGGUAACUGGAGUGCAGUAGAGGGUAGUGGAAUUUCCGGUGUAGCGGUGAAAUGCGUAGAUAUCGGAAGGAACACCAGUGGCGAAGGCGGCUACCUGGACUGAGACUGACACUGAGGCGCGAGAGCGUGGGGAGCAAACAGGAUUAGAUACCCCAGUAGUCCCUGUCUCUUAUAC
RNAcentral lists this ribosomal RNA (301 nucleotides) under uncultured bacterium. RNAcentral's name for it is "partial 16S ribosomal RNA". It matches the Rfam family "Bacterial small subunit ribosomal RNA", at positions 509 to 807 of the family's 1533-position model. The record is from RNAcentral.